Salvia splendens (bonfire salvia) is the source of this 1336-nucleotide long non-coding RNA. RefSeq lists it as uncharacterized. The transcript is spliced from 2 exons. Lineage: Eukaryota; Viridiplantae; Streptophyta; Magnoliopsida; Lamiales; Lamiaceae. The record is from RefSeq and is a predicted model, not a curated record.
GCCUCUCUCUCUCACUCUCCCCAUCGGUUCGUCGCCGAUCCGUCGCCCUGCCAGAGCCGCCUCUCCGGCGGCGCCUGCUCCUUCCUCUCGUCCCUCUCUCUCUCAUCUCUUCCCUUCUCUCCUCACAAUCACACCGCCGUCGCCGCUGCGGAUCGCCGUCAUCGCGGGUACGCCCCAGCCGCCGUCCCCACUGCCGAUCUGCCGCCACCGUCGCCGACUCCUCCUCUCCCUCUCCCUUUCUUUCUCUCCAGGGUCUGCCGCCGCCGCCGCCACUGUGCAUGCACAGGCGACGGCUUCAGCCUCCUCCGCGCCUCGCACCGCCGGCCGCCGCCACAACCGAGACCUCCCCCAGCCGCCGACAUCGAUUCUCGAUAGAUUCUAAAGAACGAAAAUAGUGACGAAUUUUUGGAGCGUGGGCUGUCACUGUCGGCGGCGGAGGGCUGAGCUUGCUGCCGGAAGCUUCUCCGGCAGACUCCUCUGUCCUUUCAAGCUAAGUUUCUAUUAUUCUUUGAUAAUCUGCAUUUUUUUUUAUGUUCUUGGGAUGCUAUAAAAACUAUAUUAUUGAGGCUCUAAAUUGUCUAUAUGAAAUAUAUAUCAAAAGCUAAAUUGGUGUUCUGUAAAUUCUGGAUACUAAAUUUGUAUUUUGGCAUAGAAAUGUUUUGCCUAUAUGAAAUGUUUCAAUGUGUGGGAAAAGUGAUGUGUGGGUACUCACCUUUGUGUGAUUGUGAAAAAAAUUGACUUGUUGAAUUUGUCUCCCUUGUGAUAUGCAAUGGUCCUGAUGGAUUGCCUCCUUCCCCUGCUUUGGCUUUGUUGGGAGAAUGAUGUGGAAUAAUUGUUUAUGUGUGGUUUGUGAAGGGAAUUUAGGAUAUUGAUGAUGAUGUGGGUGAGUGACAACAAAAUUUGUAUACACGUACAUAUACCUAAUAAGAUGCAAGUGGAGACCUACAUUUUAAAAUAUUACAGAAUAGGAUAUGAUUUUACAAUAUGAUUUUAGGAUAUGCUUUGUCAGAGGAUAAGAUAUGAUUUUAGGAUAUGAUUUGAUAUGAUUUCUUUUGCCAUUCAAUUAAUGCAGCAUUUAAUGCUUUUGAUACACAAGAUCGGCCCUUUCUUCUUCUUUUUUAAUUUGUUUAUUAAAUUAAUUAUUUAAGUAUUUGUUCACUUAUUCUUUUAAUUUGGUGUAGGUAUAAUCGGUUUAAGUUCGUGGCCGUCCGCGUUGAAGUACCCGAUUUCUUAAAACAUACAAUGUAUAAAUUAUAUUUUGUUGGACUUUUGUUGGAUGUAUCGGACAUUAAAAUAAAUUAAUUUUGGGGUCUUAAUUAUUAUUAUUUUUUUUUCA